UGGGGAAUUUUGGACAAUGGGGGAAACCCUGAUCCAGCCAUCCCGCGUGUGCGAUGAAGGCCUUCGGGUUGUAAAGCACUUUUGGCAGGAAAGAAACGUCGCGGGUUAAUACCCCGCGAAACUGACGGUACCUGCAGAAUAAGCACCGGCUAACUACGUGCCAGCAGCCGCGGUAAUACGUAGGGUGCAAGCGUUAAUCGGAAUUACUGGGCGUAAAGCGUGCGCAGGCGGUUCGGAAAGAAAGAUGUGAAAUCCCAGAGCUUAACUUUGGAACUGCAUUUUUAACUACCGGGCUAGAGUGUGUCAGAGGGAGGUGGAAUUCCGCGUGUAGCAGUGAAAUGCGUAGAUAUGCGGAGGAACACCGAUGGCGAAGGCAGCCUCCUGGGAUAACACUGACGCUCAUGCACGAAAGCGUGGGGAGCAAACAGGAUUAGAUACCCUGGUAGUCCACGCCCUAAAACGAUGUCAACUAGCUGUUGGGGCCUUCGGGCCUUGGUAGCGCAGCUAACGCGUGAAGUUGACCGCCUGGGGAGUACGGUCGCAAGAUUAAAAACUC
RNAcentral lists this ribosomal RNA (556 nucleotides) under uncultured bacterium. RNAcentral's name for it is "partial 16S ribosomal RNA". It matches the Rfam family "Bacterial small subunit ribosomal RNA", at positions 355 to 902 of the family's 1533-position model. The record is from RNAcentral.